CAGAUCAGCAUGCUGCGGUGAAUACGUUCCCGGGCCUUGUACACACCGCCCGUCACACCAUGGGAGUCGGUAACACCCGAAGUCGGUAGCCUAACCGUAAGGAGGGCGCCGCCGAAGGUGGGAUUGAUGACUGGGGUGAAGUCGUAACAAGGUACC
RNAcentral lists this ribosomal RNA (156 nucleotides) under uncultured bacterium. RNAcentral describes it as "partial 16S ribosomal RNA". It matches the Rfam family "Bacterial small subunit ribosomal RNA", at positions 1345 to 1500 of the family's 1533-position model. The record is from RNAcentral.